CCUACGGGGGGCUGCAACCCAACUGAAUGGAGCCCUACGGGGGGCUGCAGUAGGGAAUCUUCCGCAAUGGACGAAAGUCUGACGGAGCAACGCCGCGUGAGUGAUGAAGGCUUUCGGGUCGUAAAACUCUGUUGUUAGGGAAGAACAAGUGCUAGUUGAAUAAGCUGGCACCUUGACGGUACCUAACCAGAAAGCCACGGCUAACUACGUGCCAGCAGCCGCGGUAAUACGUAGGUGGCAAGCGUU
RNAcentral lists this ribosomal RNA (246 nucleotides) under Clostridioides difficile. Its description in RNAcentral is "partial 16S ribosomal RNA". It matches the Rfam family "Bacterial small subunit ribosomal RNA", at positions 291 to 542 of the family's 1533-position model. Lineage: Bacteria; Bacillati; Bacillota; Clostridia; Peptostreptococcales; Peptostreptococcaceae. The record is from RNAcentral.